CCUACGGGAGGCAGCAGUGGGGAAUAUUGCACAAUGGGGGAAACCCUGAUGCAGCGACGCCGCGUGAGUGAAGAAGUAUUUCGGUAUGUAAAGCUCUAUCAGCAGGAACGAGACAAGACGGUACCUGACUAAGAAGCCCCGGCUAACUACGUCCCAGCAGCCGCGGUAAUACGUAGGGGGCAAGCGUUAUCCGGAAUCACUGGGUGGAAAGGGAGCGUAGACGGCUGUGCAAGCCUGAAGUGAAAGGCGGGGGCCCAACCCCUGGACUGCUUUGGGAACUGUACGGCUGGAGUGCAGGAGAGGUAAGUGGAAUUCCUAGUGUAGCGGUGAAAUGCGUAGAUAUUAGGAGGAACACCAGUGGCGAAGGCGGCUUACUGGACUGUAACUGACGUUGAGGCUCGAAAGCGUGUGGAGCAAACAGGAUUAGAUACCCUAGUAGUC
Molecule: ribosomal RNA, 441 nt
Filed under: uncultured bacterium
Lineage: Bacteria
Description: partial 16S ribosomal RNA
Rfam family: Bacterial small subunit ribosomal RNA
Source: RNAcentral